UAGUGAGUUUGAUCCUGGCUCAGAUUGAACGCUGGCGGCAUGCUUUACACAUGCAAGUCGAACGGCAGCGCGGGGCAACCUGGCGGCGAGUGGCGAACGGGUGAGUAAUAUAUCGGAACGUACCCAAGAGUGGGGAUAACGUAGCGAAAGUUACGCUAAUACCGCAUACGAUCUAAGGAUGAAAGCAGGGGACCGCAAGGCCUUGUGCUCCUGGAGCGGCCGAUAUCUGAUUAGCUAGUUGGUGGGUAAAACGCCUACCAAGGCAUCGAUCAGUAGCUGGUCUGAGAGGACGACCAGCCACACUGGGGACUGACGACACGGCCCAGACUCCGUACGGGA
RNAcentral lists this ribosomal RNA (339 nucleotides) under uncultured Massilia sp. Its description in RNAcentral is "bacterial SSU rRNA". It matches the Rfam family "Bacterial small subunit ribosomal RNA", at positions 1 to 346 of the family's 1533-position model. The record is from RNAcentral. Lineage: Bacteria; Pseudomonadati; Pseudomonadota; Betaproteobacteria; Burkholderiales; Oxalobacteraceae.